RNAcentral lists this ribosomal RNA (440 nucleotides) under uncultured bacterium. RNAcentral's name for it is "partial 16S ribosomal RNA". It matches the Rfam family "Bacterial small subunit ribosomal RNA", at positions 338 to 795 of the family's 1533-position model. The record is from RNAcentral.
CCUACGGGCUGCAGCAGUCGGGAAUAUUGCGCAAUGGAGGAAACUCUGACGCAGUGACGCCGCGUGCAGGAAAAAGCUUUUCGGAUUUUAAACUGCUUUAGACAGGGCAGAAAAAAGACAGUACCUCUAGAAUAAGCUCCGCCUAACUCCGUGCCAGCAGCCCCGGUAAUACGGAGGGAGCAAGAGUUAUCCGGAUCAAUUGGGGGUAAAGGUGCGUAGACGGAGAAGCAAGUUUGGUGUGAAAUCCCUAGGCUAAACUGAGGUACUGCAAUUAAAACUUCUUACCUUGAAUGCUGGAGAGGAAAGUGGAAUUCCUAGUGUAGCGGUGAAAUGCGUAGAUAUUAGGAGGAACACCAGUGGCGAAGGCGAUUUUCUGGACAGUAACUGACGUUGAGGAACGAAAGUGUGGGGAGCAAACGGGAUUAGAUACCCUUGUAGUC